Molecule: non-coding RNA, 298 nt
Organism: Gorilla gorilla gorilla (western lowland gorilla)
Lineage: Eukaryota; Metazoa; Chordata; Mammalia; Primates; Hominidae
Rfam family: 7SK RNA
About the family: 7SK was discovered as an abundant small nuclear RNA in the mid-70s but a possible function has only recently been suggested. Two independent studies have found that 7SK RNA binds the CDK9/cyclin T complex (known as elongation factor P-TEFb). P-TEFb activates transcription by phosphorylating the C-terminal domain of RNA polymerase II.
Source: Rfam
UGAUGUGAGGGCAAUCUGGCUGCGGCAUCUGUCACCCCAUUGAUCACCAGGGUUGAUUCAGCUGAUCUGACUGGUUAGAUGGGUGUCCCCCUCCUCCCUCACUGCUCCAUAUGCAUCCCUCCCAAAGCUGCAUGCUCUGUCGAAGAGGAUGACCAUCCCCGACAGAGGAGGACCAGUCUUCAGUCAAGGGCAUACAAGUACCUCCGCUCCCCUGCUAGAACCUCCAAACAAGCUAUCUAUCAUCUAUCUAUCUAUCUAUCUAUCUAUCUAUCUAUCUAUCUAUCUAUCUGCUAUCUAU